AUUUGUAAUAAUUAAAUGAUAUUAAAUAUUUUGGAAGUUUUAUUUUAGUAACUAAUCGUGUAGUUAAUGUGGAGAGAUUUUGGGAAGAUUGUCAAAUAUUAAAUUCAAAGAUUUUCUUUCUAAUUAUCAAAAACAAUUAUUAAAUGUCAGUGACAACCACUGUAAAUAAAUCUCAACUCCAGGAUUUAUUUCACAAAGUGGCUGCAAAAAUGUAUAUGUAGAUUAGAAAUUGUAACAUUCGUUUAUGCUUAUUGCUUAAUGACUGCAUUAACAUGUAGGUUCAUCUAU
This 288-nucleotide small RNA is filed under the name Arabidopsis thaliana (thale cress). RNAcentral describes it as "ATSL130340". Lineage: Eukaryota; Viridiplantae; Streptophyta; Magnoliopsida; Brassicales; Brassicaceae. The record is from RNAcentral.